Long non-coding RNA from Herpailurus yagouaroundi (jaguarundi), 147 nucleotides. RefSeq lists it as uncharacterized. Lineage: Eukaryota; Metazoa; Chordata; Mammalia; Carnivora; Felidae. The record is from RefSeq and is a predicted model, not a curated record. The transcript is spliced from 3 exons.
GGCCAUCUACUGCUUUAUGCCCAUGACUGCAGAAGACAGUGAUCAGAUGACACUGUGAAAGAUUCUUUUAAGCUCCAGGGUCAUUUUUCUCUGUCAGUUCUGCCUGAAAAAGAUGCUCAACAUCACUCAUCAUCAGGGAAAUGCAAA